AACUGAAAAUUAGAUAUAAUUUUAUUGAUAUAUCAUAUAUUUGUAGUAAUAUAAAAAUAACUUUUAUUUUGUUUUGGCUUGAUCCACAUUAAAAAAAUAAUAAUAAUUUUGCUUAAGUAACUUGUGUAGUAAACAAAUAUUAUGAUAGAAAAUAAAAAAAAUUAUAAAUGUCCUAGGAUAAAUAUAGAAUUCAUGGUUAAACCAAUUCAAUAAAAUUUAUUCUAAUUGUUUUAAUACAAUUUUUUUUUCAAUAAAUGAGGGAUUUUUUUCUUAAUUAAAUUAAAUAAAUAAACUAUUUUCUAAUUUAGUUAAAGUUUAAUGUUGAUUUAUAAGUUUUAUAUUAUUUUUAUAAGUAUUUUUAAUUUUUAAUCUUAAAAUAUCAAUUAACCACACUUAUAUUAAUUUAUUUAUUCGUACAGCAGUCUUGAGUUUUUGAAUUAAAUGAUUUACUAAUUGACGAUAUUAGUGCUAAAGUUUCGUAUUUGAACUCUCCACAACAAGUUCAUUUGUAUCGAUUAAAUUAUGUUUCAAUUAUUUCUCAUUGGCAUGAUGUAUGUCUAAAUUAUAAAAAAAUAUAUUCAUUACUUAUUAAUGUCGCAAUUAAUUACGACAUGAUAGAACAAAAACUAACAAACAUAAAGAAUUUGAAUCAUCCUUCAAUAAUAACAUAAAUAGCAACUCGUGAGGCUUGUAAUUUGAUCAUUUCUGUUUUUCUCAAUGCAUUAUGGACUCUAAGAACAGGCUCUAAAAUCAAAUAAAUGCUACAGUUGUAUGCAAUUGACAAAUAAAAUAUUAAAAUAAAUAUAGUUAACUAAAUUAACACAUAUAUGUCAUGUAAAUUAUUUUUAGUAUUUUGCUAUUAUCAAUAUUCUUGAUAGUUUUAACUAAUACUUCAAUCCAUUAAUCCAAAAAUUAACUUUAAAUUUAUGCUAAUAUAGACAUGAUAUAAAAAAAGGUAAUAUAAAAAAUUAUAAAUAAAAUAUAUAACAUAGAAUUUGUAAGUUAUUUUGAAUGUUAAAUGUAUAUUGAAUUUAUAUUAUUAGUAUGCGAAAAAUAGAAUUUAUAUUACAGAAUAAUAAUAUAAAAAUAAUUUUGCUUAAUAUUCAAAAUAAUUUUUAAAAUUUAUAAUAGUUUAUAUAUUAGAUUAUUUUAAUAUUAUAUAUGUACUUAUUACAGAAAUUUAUUUAAAAUAAAUUUUUGUGUUGUUAUAAUUCAAGGGAUAAUUGUUAAAAAAGGGUCUUAAUGAAUAUUUAUGAAGCCAAGAGAAUUUAUGUGACCAUUUUAGCAAAUUUUUUCCUUUAAAAUAAUUAUACAAAAUUUCACAUUCCAGCUUGUCUCCACUUUCUUCUUUUCUAACGUAGAUCCAGGAUAUGGAAAUUAAUACUGAAAUACUUGCUUUAGGCAAAUAAAUUUGUUUCAGGGGAAAGCAGAGGACUUCUAUUUGGAGAAUUUGUGCGUCACACAAAUUCUAUCUUCCCAUCUCCGUUGUUGUUUGUUUGUAUGACAAAACGAAAAGCAAGUCUUGGUCAAAAAGUGACAUUUUAAUUAUUUUCAUCGUGUCUACCCACAGUACAUCAUAUGACAUUACCGCGAAAUUUCCUGGAAGCUUCAAUUGUAUGAAUACACGGGACUAAAUCUAAAAACGUCUAUUAGAAGUAGAUUUCUGAGUCAUUCCCAUUAAAUAUAAUCGUAACAUUAGUAAGAUUACGAUGAUUCCUUUUUGAAUGCUCAUGGUCAUGGAGGCCAUAAUAUUUGAUCUUAAAAAAUCAGUACAAAAUAAGUGACAAGAUUCCAUCAAAAUGAUGGGCUUAUUGCAAAUCAAGGAGUUGAUACAUAACAAAUUAAAUUA
This 1849-nucleotide long non-coding RNA is filed under the name Citrus sinensis (sweet orange). Its description in RNAcentral is "long non-coding RNA (CSIN_LNC005293)". Lineage: Eukaryota; Viridiplantae; Streptophyta; Magnoliopsida; Sapindales; Rutaceae. The record is from RNAcentral.